CAAAUAGUACUUACUUCUGUUUCAAUAUGAGUUUUAAGUAACUCUCCGGUAGGCGGCGCUAUCUCUAGUAUGGGCAUUCGCUUAUCUGUCAAAAUCGGCCGGUUACAUGUUUAUCUUUCGAAAGUAAAUCGCUAUAAUUUAAUAAUUGUUUCUCUUCAUAUUGGCAUAUUGUAGCAGUGAUGAUAGUGAUAUGGAAUUAUUUCAAGUGAUAAUGGAUUGUGAUGCAGAUAGUGAUAGUGAGGCCGAUAUCAUAUGGUUAGGAAAAUAAAGAUCGUCUGAAUUACAUGGCGAAGAUCAAUAAUUACGAAUUUGACUAUAGAUUUCUGAGCAAAGGUGUUGUGAAUGAAUUGAUUAAUUUAAUGAGACCAUAUUUGAGUGUAACGUCAAAAAGAUUCAAAUAUAGGAGAGGAAUUUAGAAAUAGAAAAAGAGUAUUUUGAAUGUGUAAUUUGUGUGCAAUGCAUCAUUGAUGUUUCAAAAUGUUGUUGCUUGAUGGCCUGGGUCUGCUCAUGAUACAACUAUAAUUAACCAUUCCGAUUGAAAAGAUGCAUUGGUGUUUGUAAAAGAAGACUCCCUGUAUAUCAUUGAAAAGUAGAUUAAAACUAGAAAAUAUGCAAGCUGUUAUUAUAGCUGCCAUGCUGCAUAAUAUCGUCAGAAGUAUGAAUUUAGAAGAAUUAGAAUCAGAAAUUUCAGUCGCAGAUACAUUACAGGAAAAUAAUAUAAUUGUUCGUAACAAUUUUUCAAAACUUACAUCUGAAAUACAACUAUAUACUUAUAAAUAAUUGCUUCCAAAGAUAAUUUAUAAAAUAAACUCCAAA
Bombyx mori (domestic silkworm) is the source of this 816-nucleotide long non-coding RNA. RefSeq lists it as uncharacterized. Lineage: Eukaryota; Metazoa; Arthropoda; Insecta; Lepidoptera; Bombycidae. The transcript has 3 exons. The record is from RefSeq and is a predicted model, not a curated record.